UGUAUCCAGUGCCAGAGGACGUGGUUGGAGGACGAUGACUUUCUGAGAGACCUGCUCUAAAGCAUCUCCGGGUAUUUUAGGAGACUCCUUCAGGAGGCUGUGAUCCUUCUCUUCUCAUCCAUGUACCACUCAAGUUCCAUCUGAGUCCUCUGGGACAAGGGUGGCCUCUCUCUUCCCAGGACCUUCAGCUCUCAGCGCUGUUCUGGUUCUCACCUGAAGCUCCAGGACCAGAGUGCUCAGUCUCUACAGAGAGUCAGAGGACGAGCAGACACGAAGCCCACUCUAUUCCCUUCCGUGCGUGAGAAGUUGUCCGUCCAGUUGCUUACAGACACUCGAAUAUGCCUUCUGCUUCCCUCCACUGCAUGUGUGGGAGAAGAUGCACACAGGAAUGACAGGGUCCACUGUGCAACCUGGGUUCCCCCUCACUUGGCAUGUGGACCAUGUACCUGCAUCCACAGUAAACCAUCGAUGUUUUUGCAUGGA
Molecule: long non-coding RNA, 483 nt
Organism: Suricata suricatta (meerkat)
Lineage: Eukaryota; Metazoa; Chordata; Mammalia; Carnivora; Herpestidae
Exons: 3
Source: RefSeq, a predicted model, not a curated record